GCGGCUACUGCUAUCAGGUUUCGACUAAGCCAUGCGAGUCAAGGGGUCGUAAGACACCGGCGUACUGCUCAGUAACACGCGGACAAUCUACCCCCAGGUGGAGGAUAACCUCGGGAAACUGAGGCUAAUACCCCAUAGUUGUCAUGUGCUGGAAUGCUUUGACGAUGAAAGAAUUUCGCCUGAGGAUGAGUCUGCGGCCUAUCAGGUAGUAUGUGGUGUAAAGGACCACAUAGCCUAAGACGGGUACGGGCCUUGAAAGAGGGAGCCCGGAGAUGGACUCUGAGACACUAGUCCAGGCCCUACGGGGCGCAGCAGGCGCGAAAACCGUGCAAUGCGCGCAAGCGCGACACGGGAAGCCUGAGUGCCUUAACUAUGUUAAGGCUUUUCUUGAUCCUAAAAAGCUCAAGGAAUAAGAGCUGGGUAAGACGGGUGCCAGCCGCCGCGGUAACACCCGCGGCUCGAGUGGUAGUCACUUUUAUUGAGCCUAAAGCGUUUGUAGCCGGAUUUGUAAAUCUCUAGGAAAAUACUUCUGCUUAACUGAAGAAAUUUUGGAGAGACUGCAAAUCUAGGGACCGGGUGAGGUUGAAUGUACUUCUGGGGUAGGGGUAAAAUCCUGUAAUCCUGGAAGGACGACCGGUGGCGAAGGCGUUCAACUAGAACGGAUCCGACGGUGAGGAACGAAGGCUAGGGGAGCAAACCGGAUUAGAUACCCGGGUAGUCCUAGCUGUAAACACUGCCCACUUGGUGUUGCAUCUCCGGUAAGGGGGUGCAGUGCCGUAGCGAAGGUGUUAAGUGGGCCGCUUGGGGAGUAUGGUCGCAAGGCUGAAACUUAA
Molecule: ribosomal RNA, 833 nt
Filed under: archaeon enrichment culture
Lineage: Archaea
Description: bacterial SSU rRNA
Rfam family: Archaeal small subunit ribosomal RNA
Source: RNAcentral